GCCUAUGAACAACUCACCCCAGAAUGUGCUCAACCUUGUCAGGUCUCGGAAGCUAAGCAGGGGUUGACUCUGGUGAGUGCUUGGAUGGGUGACCAGCAUGCACACCACGUGGUCAUAAGCA
This 121-nucleotide ribosomal RNA is filed under the name Petromyzon marinus (sea lamprey). Lineage: Eukaryota; Metazoa; Chordata; Hyperoartia; Petromyzontiformes; Petromyzontidae. The record is from RNAcentral.